GAUGAACGCUAGCGAUAGGCUUAACACGUGCAAGUCGAGGGGCAGCAUGGUCUUAGCUUGCUAAGACUGAUGGCGACCGGCGCACGGGUGCGUAACGCGUAUGCAACUUGCCUCACAGAGGGGGAUAACCCGUCGAAAGACGGACUAAUACCGCGUACACUCCAUCUUGGGCAUCCAAGGUAGAGGAAAUGAAAUUCGCUGUGAGAUAGGCAUGCGUCCCAUUAGCUAGUUGGUGAGGUAACGGCUCACCAAGGCGACGAUGGGUAGGGGAACUGAGAGGUUGAACCCCCACACUGGUACUGAGACACGGACCAGACUCCUACGGGAGGCAGCAGUGAGGAAUAUUGGUCAAUGGGCGAGAGCCUGAACCAGCCAAGUCGCGUGAAGGAUGACUGUCUUAUGGAUUGUAAACUUCUUUUAUACGGGAAUAACAAGAGUCACGUGUGACUCCCUGCAUGUACCGUAUGAAUAAGCAUCGGCUAACUCCGUG
RNAcentral lists this ribosomal RNA (490 nucleotides) under uncultured bacterium. RNAcentral describes it as "partial 16S ribosomal RNA". It matches the Rfam family "Bacterial small subunit ribosomal RNA", at positions 28 to 507 of the family's 1533-position model. The record is from RNAcentral.